GUAGCCGGCCUGAGAGGGUGACCGGCCACACUGGGACUGAGACACGGCCCAGACUCCUACGGGAGGCAGCAGUGGGGAAUAUUGCACAAUGGGCGAAAGCCUGAUGCAGCGACGCCGCGUGAGGGAUGACGGCCUUCGGGUUGUAAACCUCUUUCAGCAGGGACGAAGCGCAAGUGACGGUACCUGCAGAAGAAGCACCGGCCAACUACGUGCCAGCCGCCGCGGCCGAA
This 230-nucleotide ribosomal RNA is filed under the name uncultured Actinomyces sp. RNAcentral's name for it is "partial 16S ribosomal RNA". It matches the Rfam family "Bacterial small subunit ribosomal RNA", at positions 283 to 525 of the family's 1533-position model. The record is from RNAcentral. Lineage: Bacteria; Bacillati; Actinomycetota; Actinomycetes; Actinomycetales; Actinomycetaceae.